UAUUUUUGCACCGUCCUAUAAUCGCUAUAGGACAUACAUAAAAAUCAUUAAACCAAUAUUGGAAUG
This 66-nucleotide non-coding RNA is filed under the name unclassified sequences. Its description in RNAcentral is "S15-Flavobacteria ribosomal protein leader". It matches the Rfam family "S15-Flavobacteria ribosomal protein leader". The record is from RNAcentral.